This 468-nucleotide ribosomal RNA is filed under the name uncultured bacterium. RNAcentral describes it as "partial 16S ribosomal RNA". It matches the Rfam family "Bacterial small subunit ribosomal RNA", at positions 28 to 507 of the family's 1533-position model. The record is from RNAcentral.
GACGAACGCUGGCGGCGUGCUUAACACAUGCAAGUCGAACGGAAAGGCCCUGCUUUUGUGGGGUGCUCGAGUGGCGAACGGGUGAGUAACACGUGAGUAACCUGCCCUUGACUUUGGGAUAACUUCAGGAAACUGGGGCUAAUACCGGAUAGGAGCUCCUGCUGCAUGGUGUGGGUUGGAAAGUUUCGGCGGUUGGGGAUGGACUCGCGGCUUAUCAGCUUGUUGGUGGGGUAGUGGCUUACCAAGGCUUUGACGGGUAGCCGGCCUGAGAGGGGGACCGGCGACAUUGGGACUGAGGUACGGACCAGACUCCUACGGGAGGCAGCAGUGGGGAAUAUUGCACAAUGGGCGGAAGCGUGAUGCAGCAACGCCGCGUGCGGGAUGCCGGCCUUCGGGUUGUAAACAGAUUUCGCCUGUGACGAAGCGUGAGUGACGGUAAUGGGUAAAGAAGCACCGGCUAACUACGUG